Molecule: long non-coding RNA, 604 nt
Organism: Anopheles aquasalis
Lineage: Eukaryota; Metazoa; Arthropoda; Insecta; Diptera; Culicidae
Source: RefSeq, a predicted model, not a curated record
CGGCCGUGAGUCAGUUCCAAUUCUCGUCCUCAGCGAAAUUCAUCAAAACAACGUCAACGUCGUCGUUGCCCUGGCGCGUUGUUGCCGCUGUGCGUUCUCGUUCUCGAAGGCUCAACCAAGAUGGAUGUGAUCCUUUCCCUCGAAACCUGAUGCAAGUGUUCAAGCGUUCGAGUGUUUUCGUGUGCUUUUGUGUGUUGUGCGUGGUAAGUGGCAAGAUGUGGUGAUCACCGAGUUGUGAACGAGUCGUUAAAAAAGGGAAGUUGCGCAGGAUAAGCGUCCGAGACAAGUGGAGCCCUUAAGGCUUGGGUACGCUUUCGGCACCGGUUGCCCAUUUCGUGUUCGGUUACAAUCACUGUUCGUUGGUGCACCCGUUGGCCGGAGUUUCAAGUGGUGUGGUGUGAAAGAAAAAGCAUAAAAAAGGAAAAAAGAAACGGAUAUACUUCUCCUCCCUCUCAAGUGGCCGUGUGCGUGUCCGGCGGGAAGUCGAGCCAGCAAAAUCUCGGCUAGCGGGAGAGAAUUCCAACAAGUCGAAGGAAAAACGCAACGAAUAAGGUCGCCUCGAGGAUCGCCCUGCCCGGAAUAAACAGAGUCAUCAAAUUUUAAG